This is a long non-coding RNA of Myotis davidii, 1078 nucleotides long. RefSeq lists it as uncharacterized. The record is from RefSeq and is a predicted model, not a curated record. Lineage: Eukaryota; Metazoa; Chordata; Mammalia; Chiroptera; Vespertilionidae. The transcript has 3 exons.
AAAUUUCAAUCUAGCACAGAAUAUAUUUCCACACUCACAUGAACAAAUAAUUAUAUCUAAAUAGACAUACAAACAUCAAAUAAACAUUUAUACUUACACUCUUUUAGUGAACAAGUACUUUUACAAUCCUGGGAUUUUGAGCAGACAGGAACAGAUGUGGAGGCCUCCCUUUUUCACAUCUCAGGACAGGACUUUUGACCUAUGUCUCAUCUGGAUGGAAACGGUACUAAUAUUGAACAAGGAAAUCAAGACUAAAUAGACAUAAUAACUAGAUACAUUCUCCAUUAAGAACUUUGAGGUGCAUGCCACAUUUAUACCACAAAAUACCAACAAAUCAGUUUCAGUUGUGUAAAAGACUGUCUUUUUUUUUAUUAUUAUUAGGUUUCAAGCGGCUCUGGAAAACCACAUUCGAACCUUGCAAGGCAGGUUUUUGGCCUACCUGGUCUUUUCAGAUGUAAAUUGACCACAUUCUUUAAGAUUUUGCUGUACGCAGGAGGCGACUAUCUCCUUCUUCCAUCAAGAAAAGCUUUCUUAAUUAACAAAGGACCAGUUUUUUGUUUUUGUUUUUUUUCCUUUGGAAAAACUGUUCUUUAUUUUGGAUUAGGCUUGGGAUUUAUCCUGCACAUUUGAAAGGAGACGCUAGCCCAAAACCCUAUCCAAAAUCGGACAGUGCGCAUAUUAGUUUUAAGCCAGCUUUUCUCCUUACACGUGCACAGAAAUCCCAGACGCAUUUACUUGGGGAGGGGGUGACCUGUUUCCACAGACCCUCACUCAGGUAGCCACCCAACCGCCACACAAAGGAGCGGGGAGAGCAGUCCCCCUCCCUCUACACUUGCACACUUUCAUCAGACAUUCAUUCAGAGUUUAAACAAUCCAUUCAAUUCCUAACAACUUCGCCAUUCCUGGGGGAGCUCUAAAGCCUCCCCCAAUCUCCUUGAAAUGAUUAAUCACAAUACCCAAAGGAGCAGUAUGAGUCCACCAUAACGUCCAUCCAGCAAGUCCACAAAAUAAAACGGAAACACAAACAACUAAAGGGCCCAAAGAAGUACAGCCUUCCAACUCCACGGAAGCAAAAAAA